GAUGAACGCUGGCGGCGUGCCUAAUACAUGCAAGUCGAGCGAACGGACGAGAAUCUUGCUUCUCUGAUGUUAGCGGCUGACGGGUGAGUAACACGUGGAUAACCUACCUAUAAUACUGGGAUAACUUCGUGAAACCGGAGCUAAUACCGUAUAAUAUUUUGAACCGCAUGGUUCAAAAGUGAAAGACGGUCUUGCUGUCACUUAUAGAUGUAUCCGCGCUGCAUUAGCUAGUUGGUAAGGUAACGGCUUACCAAGGCAACGAUGCAUAGCCGACCUGAGAGGGGGAUCGGCCACACGGGAACUGAGACACGGACCAGACUACUACGGGAGGCAGCAGUAGGGAAUAUUACGCAAUGGGCGAAAGCAUGACGGAGCAACGCCGCGUGAGUGAUGAAGGUCUUCGGAUCGUAAAACUCUGUUAUUAGGGAAGAACAUAUGUGUAAGUAAAUGUGCACAUAGUGACGGUACCUAAUAAGAAAGCCACGGCUAACUACGUG
RNAcentral lists this ribosomal RNA (497 nucleotides) under uncultured bacterium. RNAcentral's name for it is "partial 16S ribosomal RNA". It matches the Rfam family "Bacterial small subunit ribosomal RNA", at positions 28 to 507 of the family's 1533-position model. The record is from RNAcentral.